AAGAGUAUAGUAUAAAUGGUUAGUAUCAUGAUCUCCAAAAUCGUUGGUAGGUGUUCGAGUCACCUUGCUCUUG
This is a transfer RNA of Pisolithus tinctorius Marx 270, 73 nucleotides long. It matches the Rfam family "tRNA". Rfam says of the family: Transfer RNA (tRNA) molecules are approximately 80 nucleotides in length. Their secondary structure includes four short double-helical elements and three loops (D, anti-codon, and T loops). Further hydrogen bonds mediate the characteristic L-shaped molecular structure. tRNAs have two regions of fundamental functional importance: the anti-codon, which is responsible for specific mRNA codon recognition, and the 3' end, to which the tRNAs corresponding amino acid is attached (by aminoacyl-tRNA synthetases). tRNAs cope with the degeneracy of the genetic code in two manners: having more than one tRNA (with a specific anti-codon) for a particular amino acid; and 'wobble' base-pairing, i.e. permitting non-standard base-pairing at the 3rd anti-codon position. The record is from Rfam. NCBI's taxonomy places the organism in Eukaryota, Fungi, Basidiomycota, Agaricomycetes, Boletales, Pisolithaceae.